RNAcentral lists this unclassified non-coding RNA (257 nucleotides) under uncultured Thelephoraceae. RNAcentral describes it as "sequence contains ITS2". The record is from RNAcentral. Lineage: Eukaryota; Fungi; Basidiomycota; Agaricomycetes; Thelephorales; Thelephoraceae.
AAUUCUCAACUGCCUUUUAGCAUUUAUGUUAAGGGUGAAGUUGGAGUUGGAGGAUAAUUGCUGGCGCAACUUGAGUUGCUUGUUAGCUCCUCUUAAAUGGAUGAGCUUUUCUGAUAGAUCAUAGCCCAGUAAUACUAAUGUGAUAACUAUCUACAUUAAAUGUGAAAGUGCUAUGAGUAGAGCAACUUUAAUUAUAAAGGAAGCUCCUACAGAAAGGAUAUGUCUUGGGGGAUAAUAAACCUAUGACUUAUAACAAA